Molecule: long non-coding RNA, 336 nt
Filed under: Bos taurus (domestic cattle)
Lineage: Eukaryota; Metazoa; Chordata; Mammalia; Artiodactyla; Bovidae
Description: long non-coding RNA NONBTAT005489
Source: RNAcentral
CAUGGGAAGACCCAUCCCAGAAGUCAGAAUAUCUGUAAAAGGUGAGCCAGAAUUGGGGGAUGUUUUUGUAAUCACAUUCCUUUUUAAUAAGGCAUAUUUUCCACUGAUUGCAGCAUGAUGAAAUCUUCAUUUCCUACACAAAUCGAACUACAGUCCCUCCCUGACCCUAACUACAGAUGCCCAAAUAACAAGAGAGCACAACCAUGUUGCUAAGCAAAUAGGUGGUCAGCUGCCGUAUAGCUGAAUGUUCAAGUUCGUGAACCUAUUCCCUUUCCCUCCCAACUCUAUGCACACACUAAAAAGCAAAUGUUCCCACAGAACUUUCUCCUCGCCCAA